Long non-coding RNA from Falco peregrinus (peregrine falcon), 985 nucleotides. RefSeq lists it as uncharacterized. Lineage: Eukaryota; Metazoa; Chordata; Aves; Falconiformes; Falconidae. The record is from RefSeq and is a predicted model, not a curated record. The transcript is spliced from 2 exons.
AGAAAAAGGUUUUCCAGCUUCUGAGCAGCCUGGAAGGAGUUUUUCGCCGAGGGCUCCCAUGCCAGCCACUUAAAAAACCCUGGCUGGCAGCGCUGGGGUCCCAGUAGCGGGUUAUAAUGUGCCGGGAGGAGGUGGCGGGCAUGUGCCCACGUUCCUGCAGUGCCCCGCCGCAGGUGUGGGGCAGCAGGCUCAGCCGUGGGAGUCCUUGGGGACAUCGAAGCUGCCAAAGGCAUGUGAUGACUGUACAGACCCAGAAACAUGGCCAGCGGCGAGACAGGCAGAGCUGACAUGCCGACAUGCUGCCAAUGCGGACACCGCCACGUGCCCUUUCCCCGGGCACAGGAGGCUGCACGCUGCGGGCAAGCCUGACCCUGUUGCCCCCUGCCCGGCCGUGCAAAGGGGGGCUGACCCCCAGGGGCUGGCUCCCAGGGCAUGCUGCGGUGCCGCACGUGGCUCCUUGCUGAAAGCAUGGUGACACCUUCCUGGGGGUAUGCACGGGGCCAGAGUGCUGCCCAGCAGGGCCAGCAGCAGGGCAGAGGCUUUGCAAAAGCAUAGGGUGGCAGGAAGGUCCCUGCAGCACCUCCCCUGGCUCUGGGUCCCUGUGGCUGUUCCCACACUUGGCUGGAGCUCAAGGCUGGCCUGGCCGUGGCUGGUAUGGAGAUAACCCCGCACUGGCCAAGGCUGCUCCCAAACCUCAUUCCUGACUGAUGGAUGCCACAAGCUUGAGGCUCCAUGGGGCUGUUUCCCUCCUUCUUUCCUACCAAGAACCAGGGGCAGCAGACGGGGAGCCUGGCACAUUGCAUAGGGUGGUUUCUGCUCCGGUUCCCAACUGGGUGCACCCGGCCGGGGGCCGGUGCCGGAUGCAGGGGCUCACGCCAGAGACACACCAUCUGCUUCUCGUCAGGCUGCUGGGAGCGCCGGGGCCUGGCAGUGGGACGCGGUUGUGAUAGAUGGUCUGUUUAUCACGUUUCAGUUCUGCUCAGGA